UUUUGGUCAAGCUAAUAAGAGCAAGCGGUGAAUGCCUUGGCGGCAGGAGGCGAUGAAGGACGUAGCGAGCUGCGAUAAGCCUCGGGGAGCUGCUAAGCGAGCUUUGAUCCGAGGAUUUCCGAAUGGGGAAACCCGGCCGGGGUCAUGCCCGGUCAUCCCGCGCUGAAUUCAUAGGCGCGAGGAAGCAAACCCAGGGAACUGAAACAUCUAAGUACCUGGUGGAAAGGACAUCAACCGAGACUCCCCUAGUAGUGGCGAGCGAACGGGGAAAAGCCCAAACCGGUGGGAAGAAAUUCGCACCGGGGUUGUGGGACCUCAACAUGAGACUCGAUGUGUCAGUCGAACGGACUGGAAAGUCCGGCCAUAGCGGGUGAUAGCCCCGUAGACGAAGGCGCAGGAAGCUCUAGAGGUAUCCCGAGUAGCGCCGGGCACGUGAAACCCGGUGCGAAGCAGGGGGGACCAUCCUCCAAGGCUAAGUACUACCUGCCGACCGAUAGUGAACCAGUACCGUGAGGGAAAGGCGAAAAGAACCCCGGUGAGGGGAGUGAAAUAGAACCUGAAACCGCUUGCUUACAAACGGUGGGAGCCCUAUGGCGCCUUCGGGCGCAAAGGGUGACUGCGUACCUUUUGCAUAAUGAGUCCGCGAGUUACGUCUUGCAGCGAGGUUAAGCCGUUCAGGUGUAGCCGUAGCGAAAGCGAGUCCGAAUAGGGCGAUGAGUUGCAGGAAGUAGACCCGAAGCCAGGUGAUCUAUCCAUGGCCAGGGUGAAGCUGCGGUAAAACGCAGUGGAGGCCCGAACCGUAGUAAGUUGAAAAUUACCCGGAUGAGCUGUGGAUAGGGGUGAAAGGCUAAUCAAACCUGGAGAUAUCUGGUUCUCCCCGAAAUAUAUUUUCGUAUAGCGUUGCAUGAUCUCCAUCGGAGGUAGAGCACUGGAUGGGCUAGGGGUCCUACCAGAUUACCGAACCCAACCAAACUCCGAAUGCCGGUGAGAGCAGUGCAGCAGUCAGACGUAUGGGGGAUAACCUCCAUAGUCGAGAGGGAAAGAACCCAGACCGUCGGCUAAGGUCCCCAAGUGUGUGCUGAGUGGGAAAGGAUGUGAGACCGUUUAGACAGCCAGGAGGUUGGCUUAGAAGCAGCCAUCCUUCAAAAAGUGCGUAAUAGCUUACUGGUCGAGUAGUCUCGCGCCGAAAAUGUAACGGGGCUAAGCACGCCACCGAAGCCGCGGAUUCACAUCAUCUUCGGAUGAUGUGUCUGGUAGGGGAGCGUUCCAGUAGCCAAUGAAGGUCGACCGUGAGGACGGCUGGAGGUUCUGGAAGUGAAUAUGCGGACAUGAGUAGCGAUAAAGCGAGUGAGAAACUCGCUCGCCGUAAACCUAAGGUUUCCUGGGUAAAGCUAAUCUUCCCAGGGUCAGCCGGCCCCUAAGCCGAGGCCGAAAGGCGUAGGUGAUGGGAAACGGGUUAAUAAUUCCCGUGCCGCUAGCGUAGCGUUCGACCGAAGGGGGGACGGAGAAGGGUAGCUGUACCGCCUGUUGGAUUAGGCGGGGAAAGUAUGUAGGCGGGGUUCGCAGGAAAAUCCACGAACCCAUUCAACGCCGAGAUACGAGACGACGGCAUUUUGUCCGAAAGUCAGCAAUCCCAUGCUUCCGAGAAAAGCCUCGUAGGGAGUUGCGCUGGUGACCGUACCGCAAACCGACUCAGGUAGGUGGGGAGAGCAUCCCAAGGCGCUUGAGAGAACUCUGGUUAAGGAACUCGGCAAAUUGACACCGUAACUUCGGGAGAAGGUGUGCCUCGGUUGGUGAGAGGAUUCACUCCUCGAGCUUUCCGGGGUCGCAGUGAUCAGGGGGUAGCGACUGUUUACUAAAAACACAGCACUCUGCUAACUCGUAAGAGGAUGUAUAGGGUGUGACGCCUGCCCGGUGCCGGAAGGUUAAGGGAACUCGUCAGCCUCUUCGGAGGCGAAGCGAUGAACCGAAGCCCCGGUAAACGGCGGCCGUAACUAUAACGGUCCUAAGGUAGCGAAAUUCCUUGUCGGGUAAGUUCCGACCUGCACGAAUGGCGUAACGACUUCCCCGCUGUCUCAACCAGGGACUCAGCGAAAUUGAAAUGACGGUGAAGAUGCCGUCUACCCGCGACUAGACGGAAAGACCCCGUGCACCUUCACUACAACUUCACACUGGCCGUCGGUCUUGCAUGUGUAGGAUAGCUGGGAGGCUUUGAAGCUGGGACGCUAGUCUCGGUGGAGCCAACCUUGAAAUACCAGCCUUGUGUGCCUGACGUCCUAACCGAGACCCGUAAUCCGGGCCCGGGACAGUGUGUGGUGGGUAGUUUGACUGGGGCGGUCGCCUCCUAAAGAGUAACGGAGGCGCACAAAGGUCCACUCAGGCUGAUUGGAAACCAGCCGAAGAGCGCAAAGGCAUAAGUGGGCUUGACUGUGAGACCUACAAGUCGAGCAGGGACGAAAGUCGGUCUUAGUGAUCCGGUGGCACCGUAUGGAAGGGCCAUCGCUCAACGGAUAAAAGGUACGCCGGGGAUAACAGGCUUAUGGCGCCCAAGCGUUCACAGCGACGGCGCCGUUUGGCACCUCGAUGUCGGCUCGUCACAUCCUGGGGGUGAAGCAGCUCCCAAGGGUUCGGCUGUUCGCCGAUUAAAGUGGCACGCGAGCUGGGUUUAGAACGUCGUGAGACAGUUCGGUCCCUAUCUGUCGUGGGCGCAGGAGAUUUGAGAGGAGCUGUCCCUAGUACGAGAGGACCGGGAUGGACGCAGCUCUGGUGUACCGGUUGUCGCGCCAGCGGCACAGCCGGGUAGCCAUCUGUGGACGGGAUAACCGCUGAAGGCAUCUAAGCGGGAAGCCCACCUCGAGACGAGAUCUCCCUCGGACUUCGGUCCGCUAAAGACCCCUUCGAGACCAGGAGGUUGAUAGGCCGGGUGUGGAAGCGCAGUAACGCGCGGAGCUAACCGGUACUAAUCGGUCGUGAGGCUUGACCU
RNAcentral lists this ribosomal RNA (2983 nucleotides) under Deltaproteobacteria bacterium. RNAcentral describes it as "23S ribosomal RNA". It matches the Rfam family "Bacterial large subunit ribosomal RNA". The record is from RNAcentral. Lineage: Bacteria; Pseudomonadati; Myxococcota; Myxococcia.